Long non-coding RNA from Corvus hawaiiensis (hawaiian crow), 1765 nucleotides. RefSeq lists it as uncharacterized. The record is from RefSeq and is a predicted model, not a curated record. The transcript has 2 exons. NCBI's taxonomy places the organism in Eukaryota, Metazoa, Chordata, Aves, Passeriformes, Corvidae.
CCCUCGGCCCCGUCCCCUCCCCCGCUCCCCCCGUCCCCUCCCCGUGCCCGGGGGGCUCCGCAGGCCCCGGAGCCGCCGCUCCCCGUUCCCAGCUGCCCCUUCCCGCUGGAAGCGGCUCUUCCACCUUUCCCGGCAACCCCCGAUCCCAAUUUUCCCUCCCCCACCCCCCCAUCCCCUCUCCCACCUCUUUUCCCCCCCAAAUCUCCCCGUGUGCUUUUGGGGGCCGGCUCCAAAACCAGCAGGAAUUUUAGGAUCCCGAUAAAGGCAACGCGCCGAUAUUUUAUCGAUCGUUUUUAUGUUUAUUGAUCGCGAGGCUUCCCAGCCUCUCCCUGCGUGCUCUGAAUCCCCAGGGAACAAAGCAAACCUUGGAUUCCCCAUGGAAAAGCUCUUCCCCCUCCGCCCCCUCCGCUUCCUUCCCCUCCGGACCGGACACUUCACCGCAGGGCCCUUCCCGCACCACGCGAACCCCAGAAGGGCUGGAAAAUCCCGCUCCACGAGAAGCCCUCCUCUCCCGGCUGCUGGGAUUUUCCCCUUCCCGCAGUUCGUAUCCAGGGAUUUUAACGCCGCUGCCACUGCCAGAACCAUCCCGGCCCUGCCGCUCCUCCCUCGGGAUGCGCCGCUGCCGCCGGGAAUCGCCCGGGGAAGCCGCGCUCGCUCCUCCGGUUGGCCGGGAAUGAUCCCAAAUCCCGGGCUGGCGGGAGAGGAGCCGCCCCCAGGGAUGGGAUCGUCUCCCGCUGUGGAUUCCCCCCUGAGCCGGGGGGGACACCAGACCCCCCCCAAAUCCCGCUGCUCCUGGAGGAAAAUCCAUCCUCAUCCUCCAGGGAACCACCGGAGACGGGAAUUCUCCAUCCUCAGAGCUUCCGGCUCCUCCACCCAGCCUGGCCGAGACCCCGGAUCCCCAAAAACCGGGGAGUGAGCAACGCCGGGGAGCAGCUUCAGCCUUUGCCCCCUCCCGGAUUGAAGCCGCAGCUCCCAAACCACCGGCAGCCCUUGGGAUUGGGGUUUCCCUGGAAUUUUGACCGGGAAAAAAAUCCCAUGCAGGCAGCUCGGGCUGGGCUUUAAACCCGCAGCCGGGAGGGGGUUUCCCAGGUUUUGGGGUUGUUAAUCCCAUUGUUUUCCUCCUCCUCCUCCUCCUCUUCCCGGGGCACUUUUGGGAUUUGGAGCCUCCCACGCUUGGAUUUGGGAUUUGGAGCCUCCCCGCCCCCAUCCCAAGCUGGGCAGGCGGGAGGGGUUGUGCAGCAGGAAAUUUGGGGGAGUUUUUCCUAAAUCCGGGUUGGGUUUUCGUGGGUUUUUAGCGGUCAGAGGGUGGAAGCUCCUCAGAGCAUCCCAGGGUGGGAUUUAUCUCCCUGGGGAUCCUGCCGGCAUUCCUGGAGGGAAGAAAAUAUCCCGGGGAUCUUAAGGACUUCAAGGAUUUAAUCCUGAAAUAUUUUGGGAUGGGGUUUAAACCCGUGCCUUGGAAUUACCCUCCCCUCCCCCUCCCCAAAUCCAGAGCUGCUGGAAUCCCGGAUUUCCCAAGGAGAGGAGGGAAUUACCGGGAUUACCCAAACCAGACCCCAAAACCGCCCCCAGCAACCCCAAAUCCGCGGUUCCUUUGCUGCUGAGCGAUUCCCGGUGCCGGGAUGGGGAAGGAAAACGCUGCUCCAGGAGGGAUUUAGGGCAGGGAUCCAUCCCAAAAUCCCGGUGCUGGCUCUGGGUUCCCUCCUGCCCCGGCUCAGGGAAGGAUUUGCUGAUUUAAGCCUGGUUUAAUAAAUUUUGUUUAUUUUAA